AGUUUUUAUGUCUAUAUACUGCUUUGAGAGACACAUUUUCAUGGCCAUUAACUUUGGACUUAAACACAUGCAGAAAUCACACUGAAUGAUUAAAGUUCUAUUUAAAUAGUUGUGAAAUACAACCAACACUGCCAACACACUGAACAAAGGGGAAAAAGGGGGUUGUUCACUUUACAAAUAAACAGUUCGCAUACAUGACGUGAUUUAUGUUCCUUCUCUGAAAAUAUGUCAAUCAUGUAGAAUUAUUCUAAUCUUGAUGGAUGUUUCAUUUUUAAGUCUCAGUCAUGUUAAGAGCAAAAGAAAUUGUUAUGUUUUUGUCUGGAAACUCUUGGGAGCAGCUCUUUGAAUGAAAACUUCACCGAGGGCGCCAUUUUUUCGAUUUGGUCGGUUGAAUUCGUCAGUCUGGACAGCUCUUCACACAGUAAAGGUAUUUGGUGUUCCUCCAGUUGAGAUCUCCGCUUCGUACCUGUAGUAAUGGCAGAAGACAAAGACCUGAACCAAGGAGCCAUUGAGGAGACCAUGGGAAUACGUGAGAUGCCACUGAUGGACCAGAGGACAUUGGGAUUGUCCUGGAAGGCCAGGUGGUACUGCAUGAUCUGGACAACGUUGCCUUAGCUGCUGCCAUGUUGUUUGGACUAAUGUAUGCCUUGAACCUCAACUACCCUCCUGAACUUAAGUACUCUGUCAAAGUGCUCCAGAAGUUGUGACGGAGCUGGACGACAACACGCUGUCAAAGAAAGCCCAGGGACUCAAAAACAAACUAUAAGUGAGCUUUUGCCAUUUUAGGCAACCUGGAUACAACAGUACCCUUUCUUCUUGGAAUAUGGACCAUUGCUGACUGGACUUUUGACACUUAUGCAACUCACUUGCUCUGACUUUGUUUACUGCAAGUGUAGUGUAUUUGUUUCAGCAAAUUAUUUCUCUCAGGGCCAUGUGGGGCAAAAUGUAUCUCUUUCAUUUUAUGUCAGCUUUGUCAGAUGCGGGAGAGAUCCCAACAGCUUUCCCUAUUUUAAUAUGUAGGUGAGAUUUAGUUUUUUCGUAACUGAAAUAUAGAAGUGGUGGGAAAGCAACUACUCCUUAAUUCUAUUACUCUUUAAUUCUAGAACCCUUGCAAGGAGCACAAUAACUUUCCAAGCACUGGAUUUACAUUUACCAGAGUGUAAUGAUUUCAUUACAUUCAUCUUUUUUGUUGUUAAGAGGUUGUAAUUGUAGUGGAUGUAUUUUGCACUUUUUUGCAUAAUUUUGCAAGACAUUUCAGAAUUAAUCUGGCUGUAGUAUAAUUCCCUAUUGAUGCUGGUUUGAGGUCAUUCAGAAGGUUUUUAAUGACCAACAGUGUUGCCUCAGGUUGUAGCAGAAUGUUUACAAUGCACUCUUGAUAACUUGGCUACCAAGUGUCUAUGUAAGGAAAAAGGUGCUUUGUUUUAAUGUGAGAACGGUUUGUAUAUGUAUCCCUUUAUUUGUGUAUACAUUGCAUUGAACCGAUUGAAGUAUUGAUAGUAACUAUUUUUUGACAAUACAAUUUCAAAAGAAA
Micropterus dolomieu (smallmouth bass) is the source of this 1531-nucleotide long non-coding RNA. RefSeq lists it as uncharacterized. Lineage: Eukaryota; Metazoa; Chordata; Actinopteri; Centrarchiformes; Centrarchidae. The transcript is spliced from 3 exons. The record is from RefSeq and is a predicted model, not a curated record.